Molecule: long non-coding RNA, 3446 nt
Organism: Betta splendens (Siamese fighting fish)
Lineage: Eukaryota; Metazoa; Chordata; Actinopteri; Anabantiformes; Osphronemidae
Exons: 3
Source: RefSeq, a predicted model, not a curated record
UGAAGUCGAAGCCAUCAUGGCCGCCAGCUCCGACUCCCUCCCGUUGGAGGAGAUUGAACGGGCUGUAACGGCAGGUGUGCGGGCUGAGGCUCCGCUUCAAACUGCCGUUCUGUCGUAAACACCAUUAAUGAGGAGUCAAGUAGGUUUAAAAAGAAUAUUUCUGUGGCGCCGGUGGAGAAUUAGUUGGCUAACUAUACUAGCUAGCCGAAGUUACGUCCAGGCUAAAAACAAAAGUUUCCAGAUCAGGUGUGGGCGGGGUUGGCGCACAUUGUUUGAGGUGAUUGAGUUUGCGUCUCUGAUCUGAGACCAGCGCUGUUUGAGGGGAGGGAUGGAGUCUACUUGCCCAUUCAUUAAUAUUCAGUUUUACAUUUUUUUUACACAUUUAACAUUUAGCAUUUAACAUUUACAUUUAACAUUUACAUUUAACAUUUAGCAUUUAACAUUUACAUUUAACAUUUAAAUUUAACAUUUACAUUUAACAUUUACAUUUAACAUUUAACAUUUAACAUUUACAUUUAACAUUUACAUUUAGACUUUUGCACAUUUAACUAAAUGUGAGAAAACAUGUUGUGUCAUUUAGUUAAAUGUGAGAAAACUAGUUAUAGGUGCUCCUUUUAUAUUUGGCACCCCGUAACAAAAACAGCUAAAUCUAAUCUAAUAAAUAAAUAGUUUUACGUUCAAGAGAUAAAAGAAUAGCUUAAAGUUAUGGAAACAUUUAAUACAUCUGAAAGUAGAGUACAGGAAAAGGUUGGAGCUUUGGAAGAAAAGUGUGCAGGUAAUUUUUAAACAGUAAAAAGAGUCUUAACUAGUCAUAAUAAACAUUUGAAAGCAGAAAUACUGCUAUUUCUAGCUAAGGAUUUGGAUUGGUUGUGCAUCGCUGACAAUUACGAAAAAGCUAUUUUAAAAAGAAGGAAGUAUUCGUGGUUCAUUGCUAACUCUUAAAAAGUUUAAUAACUUGUCAAAAUUAACCAGUAAUCACGCAUGACAUUACGCACUCUAGCUCACACAAUAAACACUAAUGGAAAAGCUGAGAAUUCCUCAAAAAAAACCUAUGCCUAAACUUCUAUAAUUGAAAGUAUUAAAGAUAUUAAAAAGCUGAACAACAGAUUAAUAGUUGAAGAUUAUUUUGUAGUUCAAAUGGUGUCUGUAGCUUAAAGUAUGCUGAAGUAGUUAAAGCUGAAAGUAGACAAAGCUGAAUAGGAUUUGAAAAGUUGUUUCAAUACAAUUCAAUGGAAAGAAAUUGGCGAAAAAAGCUUAAUAACUUGAAAAAUAUGAAACAUAUGAAUGAGAAUAAUAAUAGCCCACAUCGUUUUAAAAAGCUGCAAAUUUUAACCCUUCUUACAACAAUAUCAUAAUACCUAUCACAAAAAUAAGACAACGUUUUGAAUGCCGAGGCUUUAAUAAGCACCUGGUGUGAGUUUUAUGUUUGAAGACUCUUUGGGCUUUGAGGCAGCUACAGACUAAAGUAUAGGUCUGAGGGCUUAACCAGACACAUCAUUAGAAAGAAGACAGGUAUGACUACGAACGAAUAAAGAAAAUAUGUUCAUAGAGUGAAAACUGUGGCCAUAAUGACGAGUUAAAGACAGAAGCCCUGUCUUAAAAAAAAUGGGCCCUCACACUCUAGCUGUAUACACACACACUGAUCGCAAUACACACACUAAUGGAAAAGCUGAAAAUAUACCAAAAAACUGCCAAUAUUUAAACUGCUAUAAAUCAAAAGGUAUUAAAGAUGUUAAAAAGCUAACCAGAAGAUUAAUAGUUAAAUAGCUGAAGACGGUGUCUGUAGCUUAAAGUAUGCUGAAGUAGUUAAAGCUUAAAGAAGACAAAGCUGAAGUAUUUGAAAAUUCUUUUCCAUUUCAAUAGAGAAAUGUUUAUUAAAAAAAGCUUAAAAUUUUGAAAAGUUAAAGGGAAGCAAAAGUCUCCUCAAAAAGCUGAAUAUUUUGAUAGUUGAAUGGUUUCUGUAGCUGAAACUAUGCAGGACUAGUGCAGAUAAAAUACAGAAGAACGAAAAAAAAAAUAAUGAUUACAAUAUCAAUACAGUGAAUGCUUGUGACAUUCUGCCUCCGCGCCGCUAGAGGCGCUCCUGGGGCUUUUGGUGUGGGUCUGUGUUGUGUUUACAUUUCCUGUUUAAUUAGUUGACCCACCUGUUUUGUUAGUAUUUAAGGCAUGUCCUUGUGUUAAGACACCGUUGGUGUGUACGCGGUUGUAGCCUGGAAGCUACACCAUUGUUACAUGUUAAAGCGCGAGUGUUUAGAAGUGGAGUUCCUUUUGUUCAUUUGAUGUCCUGUCUCACCAGUUAAGAGUUCACACUUUCCACAUUCUGGGACCAGACUGUACCUAUGGACAGGAGGUUGGAGGAGUUGGUGAGGCUGACACCCGUUGACAUGUUGCCCAGCUGCCACAGGAUGCUGCUGAGGUCCCUGCUGACCUGCUGUCCCAGAUCCUCGGCCACCAUCAGGCGACUGUACAGGGCCUCCAUAGCUGGCAACAGCCCUGCAGAAGCUGGGCAGAAACACACAGCAGCUGCUCAAGAUGUGCUUUUGUUCUGGUAAUGAACUAUAGUUAUAGGUGAACCUGAAGAACCUGAUCAGAGAGCAGCUGAUGAGAAGGUGGAGCUGAAAACCUGGCAAGGACUUGGUGGAACAGAACAAAGAUAUGAGUGGUCAACUCUGACAGAAUGAAGAAGUGAAAAUACCAAGCUGGAAACAACCUCUGCUUGUCGGCAGUCUGUGCAUAAACACACAUACAUCCAGGCCGUCUGUGUCAAGACCAACCUGAAUUACCUGCUUUGUGGCAAAACCAAGCUCAACGAGGGGGACUAGCGCAUCUGACUGUUGACACUGUCCCAAAACUCAAACAGGAAACUUCUACCUACUUACAAUGGGACCAGUCACAGAGUUGGCCAGAACCUAGAGUCCACUCCACUAGGCUGUAGCUCAUUGAAACAGAUUCACAUUUUUCAGGCCUGCCUUAAAACAACAGUUUUGCCCUCGGACAGAUUCCAUAACAGGUUGUGCUUGUUGUAACUAAUCCUCCUGUUCAUGGCGGCUGUGAAGAGAUCGCUUCCUAAAAGUCUUCGAUGGAAGUGAAAGGUUCGAAAAGGUAUUGUAAUAUGUCACCAUAGGCGGAAGGAAAGAUAAAUGUGGGGUCGCAGCAGACAGAGGGUGAUUAGGGAUUACUCAUUAAAAAACAGAACUUUAGAACGUUUCAUGAGAAAAAAAACUCUCAUCUUCUGUUCAGGUUCUGAAUUGCAAAUGCAUGUACAUCGAGUCUUGAGUCACAAAAUCAAUUACAAUUACAUGUUUAAAAGGUUAUAAUUUCGUAGCUUUUAAAAUUAUAAAACAUAAUGCUUAUUUACUACAAGUAAAUUCCAUUAUCUGUGGGUCCAAUUUACUUCAACAAAAAAGUCGGGCUGUUUAAAUAAAAGUUGUCACUCAUGUAAAUAA